AGUGAACGCUGGCGGUAGGCCUAACACAUGCAAGUCGAACGGCAGCACAGGAGAGCUUGCUCUCUGGGUGGCGAGUGGCGGACGGGUGAGGAAUACAUCGGAAUCUACUCUGUCGUGGGGGAUAACGUAGGGAAACUUACGCUAAUACCGCAUACGACCUACGGGUGGAAGCAGGGGAUCUUCGGACCUUGCGCGAUUGAAUGAGCCGAUGUCGGAUUAGCUAGUUGGCGGGGUAAAGGCCCACCAAGGCGACGAUCCGUAGCUGGUCUGAGAAGAUGAUCAGCCACACUGGAACUGAGACACGGUCCAGACUCCUACGGGAGGCAGCAGUGGGGAAUAUUGGACAAUGGGCGCAAGCCUGAUCCAGCCAUACCGCGUGGGUGAAGAAGGCCUUCGGGUUGUAAAGCCCUUUUGUUGGGAAAGAAAUCCAGCUGGCUAAUACCCGGUUGGGAUGACGGUACCCAAAGAAUAAGCACCGGCUAACUUCGUGCCAGCAGCCGCCGUAA
Molecule: ribosomal RNA, 506 nt
Filed under: uncultured bacterium
Lineage: Bacteria
Description: partial 16S ribosomal RNA
Rfam family: Bacterial small subunit ribosomal RNA
Source: RNAcentral